GUGGGGAAUAUUGGACAAUGGGCGAAAGCCUGAUCCAGCCAUGCCGCGUGUGUGAAGAAGGUCUUCGGAUUGUAAAGCACUUUAAGUUGGGAGGAAGGGUAGUAACCUAAUACGUUGCUACUUUGACGUUACCGACAGAAUAAGCACCGGCUAACUUCGUGCCAGCAGCCGCGGUAAUACGAAGGGUGCAAGCGUUAAUCGGAAUUACUGGGCGUAAAGCGCGCGUAGGUGGUUUUGUAAGUUGGAGGUGAAAUCCCCGGGCUCAACCUGGGAACUGCCUCAAAAACUGCAUGACUAGAGUACGGUAGAGGGUAGUGGAAUUUCCUGUGUAGCGGUGAAAUGCGUAGAUAUAGGAAGGAACACCAGUGGCGAAGGCGACUACCUGGACUGAUACUGACACUGAGGUGCGAAAGCGUGGGGAGCAAACAGGAUUAGAUACCCGAGUAGUCC
RNAcentral lists this ribosomal RNA (450 nucleotides) under uncultured bacterium. RNAcentral describes it as "partial 16S ribosomal RNA". It matches the Rfam family "Bacterial small subunit ribosomal RNA", at positions 354 to 796 of the family's 1533-position model. The record is from RNAcentral.